Molecule: ribosomal RNA, 422 nt
Filed under: uncultured archaeon
Lineage: Archaea
Description: partial 16S ribosomal RNA
Rfam family: Archaeal small subunit ribosomal RNA
Source: RNAcentral
CUACGGGGUGCAGCAGGCGCGAAACCUUUACAAUGCACGCAAGUGUGAUAAGGGAAUCCCUAGUGCUCAUGUACUGCAUGGGCUUUUGCUAAGUGUAAAUAGCUUGGCGAAUAAGUGGUGGGUAAGACUGGUGCCAGCCGCCGCGGUAACACCAGCGCCACGAGUGGUAACCACGUUUAUUGGGCCUAAAGCGUCCGUAGCCGGUUUGGUAAAUCUUUUGUGAAAUUGUUCAGCUUAACUGAACAGCGUGCAAGAGACACUGCCAAACUCGAGACCGGGAGGAGUCAGAAGUAUUCCAGAGGGAGCGGUAAAAUGUUAUAAUCUCUGGAGGACUACCUGUGGCGAAGGCGUCUGACCAGAACGGAUCUGACGGUGAGGGACGAAAGCCAGGGGAGCGAACCGGAUUAGAUACCCUUGUAGUC